AUUGAACGCUGGCGGCAGGCCUAACACAUGCAAGUCGAGCGGAUGAAGGGAGCUUGCUCCUGGAUUCAGCGGCGGACGGGUGAGUAAUGCCUAGGAAUCUGCCUGGUAGUGGGGGAUAACGUCCGGAAACGGGCGCUAAUACCGCAUACGUCCUGAGGGAGAAAGUGGGGGAUCUUCGGACCUCACGCUAUCAGAUGAGCCUAGGUCGGAUUAGCUAGUUGGUGGGGUAAAGGCCUACCAAGGCGACGAUCCGUAACUGGUCUGAGAGGAUGAUCAGUCACACUGGAACUGAGACACGGUCCAGACUCCUACGGGAGGCAGCAGUGGGGAAUAUUGGACAAUGGGCGAGAGCCUGAUCCAGCCAUGCCGCGUGUGUGAAGAAGGUCUUCGGAUUGUAAAGCACUUUAAGUUGGAGGAAGGGCAGUAAGUUAAUACCUUGCUGUUUUGACGUUACCAACAGAAUAAGCACCGGCUAACUUCGUG
This 483-nucleotide ribosomal RNA is filed under the name uncultured bacterium. RNAcentral's name for it is "partial 16S ribosomal RNA". It matches the Rfam family "Bacterial small subunit ribosomal RNA", at positions 30 to 507 of the family's 1533-position model. The record is from RNAcentral.